UCGAGGAUAUUUAGCAAUGGGGGAAACCCUGACUAUGUGACGCCGCGUGAGGGAUGAAGGUUUUCGGAUCGUAAACCUCUUUCGAUGGGGAAGAAGUCCUGCAUACUAAUAUUAUGUAGGGUUGACGGUACCUAGAGAAGAAGCCACGGCCAACUCCGUGCCAGCAGCCGCGGUAAUACGGGGGUGGCGAGCGUUACUCGGAGUUAUUGGGUGUAAAGGGCAGGUAGGCGUUUCGUUAAGUUAGAGGUGAAAUACUAAGGCUCAACCUUAGAACUGCCUCUAAUACUGGAGGAAUUGAGGCUGUAAGAAGAAAGCGGAAUUCCCGGUGUAAGGGUGAAAUCUGUAGAUAUCGGGAGGAACACCAGUGGCGAAAGCGGCUUUCUAGUACAGUUCUGACGCUAAUCUGCGAAAGCUCGGGGAGCAAACA
This 427-nucleotide ribosomal RNA is filed under the name uncultured prokaryote. RNAcentral describes it as "bacterial SSU rRNA". It matches the Rfam family "Bacterial small subunit ribosomal RNA", at positions 355 to 774 of the family's 1533-position model. The record is from RNAcentral.